Molecule: non-coding RNA, 229 nt
Organism: Pelobates cultripes (western spadefoot toad)
Lineage: Eukaryota; Metazoa; Chordata; Amphibia; Anura; Pelobatidae
Source: the annotation of a GenBank genome assembly
CACACACUGAUCAAUGCAGACACACACACACUGACUCAGGCAGACACACACACAUUAACUCAAGCAGACACACGCACACUGACUCCAGCAGACACACACACACUGGCGAAAGCAGACACACACACACUGACCCAAGCAGACAUACACACACUGACUCAAGCAGACACACAUUGAUCCAAGCAGACACACACACAUUGAUGAAGACACAUACACGCACACACUGACUCAU